AUGGUCCAGGGAAAGGAUCCUAUGCUCCUGAACCUGCGGGUUGUGGGUGCAGCCUUGGACCAGGCAGCCCAACCCUGACCUAAGUACAUUUUCUCCUGGGGUUUGAGUUUGCAAUCACAGGUGUGAACAUUUUAGCCGCAGUUUAACCAUCACCUGUGAUACUGCAAAUAGGA
Non-coding RNA from Suricata suricatta (meerkat), 173 nucleotides. NCBI's taxonomy places the organism in Eukaryota, Metazoa, Chordata, Mammalia, Carnivora, Herpestidae. The record is from Ensembl.